RNAcentral lists this ribosomal RNA (483 nucleotides) under uncultured bacterium. RNAcentral describes it as "bacterial SSU rRNA". It matches the Rfam family "Bacterial small subunit ribosomal RNA", at positions 29 to 507 of the family's 1533-position model. The record is from RNAcentral.
AUGAACGCUGGCGGCAGGCUUAACACAUGCAAGUCGAGGGGCAGCAUACCCGGUGACGGGUGAUGGCGACCGGCGGAAGGGUGAGUAACGCGUGAGCAACAUACCCGUAUCAGUGGGAUAAUACAGGGAAACUUGUUCUAAUAUCACAUAAUAUUAUUCAGAGGCAUCUUUGGAUAAUUAAAGUUCAGGCGGAUACGGAAUGGCUCGCGUGACAUUAGCUAGAUGGUAGGGUAAAGGCCUACCAUGGCUAUGAUGUCUAGGGGUUCUGAGAGGGAGGUCCCCCACACUGGAACUGAGACACGGUCCAGACUCCUACGGGAGGCAGCAGUGAGGAAUAUUGGACAAUGGAUGAAAAUCUGAUCCAGCCAUGCCGCGUGCAGGAAGGCGGCCCUAUGGGUUGUAAACUGCUUUUGUACGGGAGCAAUAAGGCCUACGAGUAGAUUGAUGAGAGUACUGUACGAAUAAGCAUCGGCUAACUCCGUG